Oncorhynchus tshawytscha (Chinook salmon) is the source of this 2877-nucleotide long non-coding RNA. NCBI's taxonomy places the organism in Eukaryota, Metazoa, Chordata, Actinopteri, Salmoniformes, Salmonidae. The record is from Ensembl.
UGGUCUUGCUGGAUUCUAGUAUAUGAUUUCAGUUAGAGUGCAGAUAAUCAGUUUCUCACCAUUCAUUUGACAUUAAUCAGUUAUUUCUGUUUCGUAUAUAAACUAUCUACUUAUGAAAUAGAGAGAGCCAUAUCUUUCUGAAGAGUCUUUUAGAAUAUCACUGUCGGAAAGGGAGAGAAUGUUACUGGAAUAUAGACCACUAUUCCCUGUGGAUGGAGAAAGAUAAUAGAGACAGGGGCUUUUAUUAGAGUAGAAGGAUACUAGAUAGGGCUUUUAUUAGAGUAGAAGGAUACUAGACAGGGCUUUUAUUAGAGUAGAGGUUUACUAGGCAGGGCUUUUAUUAGAGUAGAAGUAUACUAGACAGGGCUUUUAUUAGAGCAGAAGGAUACUAGACAGGGCUUUUAUUAAAGUAGAAGGAUACUAGACAGGGCUUUUAUUAGAGUAUAAUGUAAAAAAAAAAUGCAACAUUCAACAAUUUCAAAGAUACAGAGUUACAGUUCAUAUGAGGAAAUCAGUCAAUUUAAAUAAAUUCAUUAGGCCCUAAUCUAUGGAUUUCACAUGACUGGGAAUACAGAUAUGCAUCUGUUGGUCACAGAUACCUUUAAAAAACAAUGGGCCUCAGGAUCUCGUCACGGUAUUUUUGUGCAUUCAAAUUGCACCUACAAGACAGAACAUCAGAUGUGUCCAUUGUUAAUUUAUACAAUAGUAUGUUUUCCUCUUGUAUCCUCUCCAGGUAACAAGCUGACUGGUCUGGUCCUCAGGUGCUGACUCGGACCAGUGGAAUUGUUGAGUUUCUUUCUUGUCUCCUCUGUCACAGUCCUUCCUACUCCCUCCUUCCUUUCUGACAGCCAUUCACUUAACGCUCGCUUCCUCCAUUAAACCUUGUACAUUAAUAAGGAAAUAAGCUCAUUACCGGAAAAUGAGACAACGUGAGACUACACAAGCACAGUGCCUUCAGAAAGUACUCACACCCUUGACUUUUUCCGUGUUUUGUUGUGUUACAGCCUGAAUUUUAAAUGGAUUCAAUUGAGAUUGUGUCACAGAUCUAUACACAAUACCCCAUCACUUCAUAGUGGAAUUAUGUUUUUAGACAUUUUUAUAAAUUCAUUCAAAAUAAAAAGCUGAAUUGUCUUGAGUCAAGUAUUCAUAUUCAACCCUUUUGUUAUGGAAAGCCAAAAUAAAUUCAGGAGUAAACAUUUGCUAAAUCACAUAAUAAGUUGCAUGGACUCACUCUGUGUGCAAGAAUAGGGUUUAAUAUUAAAAAUAAUUAUGACUACCUCAUCUCUGUACCCCACACAUACAGUACAAUUAUACUGUCGAUAAGGUCCCUCAGUCGAGCAGUGAAUUUCAACCACAAGACCAGGGAGAUUUUCCAAUGCCUCGCAAAGAAGGGCACCUAUUGGUAGAUGGGUAAAAAUCCAAAAUAAAACAGACAUUGAAUAUCCCUUUGAGCAGGGCCGAUCCUGGACGUUCUGCAACCCUAGGCAAGACACAAAAAAAUUCUGCCCCUACAAGAAUAGUCCCAGAAAGCAAAAUUACGUUGAAAAGGCAUGUAAAAUAUGUAUUUUCCAGACGUUGAAGGUAUUCAAAUUAAGUCCUGAAGGAAAGGUGAAAUGAUGUAUUUUCCGGACGUUAAAAUCAGGUUACUUGACGGUUCUGAAUGUUGAAAAUAUGUAAUUUAUAUUAGUCUAUGUUUAGGCCAAAUCAAGGCUGGUCCAGACAGGACAGAAUCUGAACCAAACAGAAACGUCUAUGAUUGGUUCAGAUUUGGUCCAGACUGGGCCAAAAAAUUAUGUCCGCGAAUGUGGAAAUCAAGGCCGAUCCAGACAGGGCCAAAAAAAGAUGUCCAAAAGGCAUCAGCGUCGGUCCGUGCUUACUGAGGUAUAUAGCCUACAGAAGGGAUGGGCAACCCCAGUCCUCGUCGGUCCGUGCUUACUGAGGUAUAGCCUAUAGAAGGGAUGGGAAACUCCAGUCCUCAUCGGUCCGUGCUUACUGAGGUAUAGCCUACAGAAGGGAUGGGCAACUCCAGUCCUCGUUGGUCCGUGCUUACUGAGGUAUAGCCUACAGAAGGGAUGGGCAACUCCAGUCCUCGUUGGUCCGUGCUUACUGAGGUAUAGCCUACAGAAGGGAUGGGCAACUCCAGUCCUCGGGGGCCAGAGUGGUGUCACACUUUGUCCCCAUCCCAGCCAUUAAACUGUCAACACAGCUGAUAAAACGUAUUGCAUUCUAAACUGAAGGAUCAUGAUUCGAAUUUUUAUGAAUUCCCAUCCAUGUGCUUUGCCCAGCGUUUGUAAAACAGGCCGUUGCAUUGGCUUUAUUAGUCCUGAUUUCUGUGACUAAUCAAUUUGGCUAUUUAAGCUCUGAAUAUCAGCUCCCCAACUUUAUCACGAGUUCUCCUGAGCCUAUUUGCCUUGUGUUUAUACAGCGGGAAAUGCAGCAGUAUUUUAUUUUUUGUCGUGAUCAGCUCGUCUGACGGAUACAAACCUCAAACCACUGAUCAUGACAAUUUAGGCCAGUGGAUAAAACUCCUGAGCAGCAGUUGUGAGUAGAUUGUCCCAUUCCAUAUUGACCAUUUUAUUUUGAUAUUUCCUGUUUUUAGGAUAUGUGUUUUAUUUGAUUGGUAUUUUUUUUUAUUUGAUUAGGUUAAGGUAUUUGAUUGGGCGCCAUUUAGGUUAAGGUAUUUGAUUGGGCGCGAUUUAGGUUAAGGUAUUUGAUUGGGCGCCAUUUAGGUUAGGCUAUUUGCUCGGGCACCAUUUAGGUUAGGCUAUUUGAUCGGGCACCAUUUAGGUUAGGCUAUUUGAUCGGGCACCAUUUAGGUUAGGCUAUUUGAUCGGGCACCAUUUAGGUUAGGCUAUUUGAUCGGGCACCAUUUAGGUU